Molecule: non-coding RNA, 281 nt
Organism: Pelobates cultripes (western spadefoot toad)
Lineage: Eukaryota; Metazoa; Chordata; Amphibia; Anura; Pelobatidae
Source: the annotation of a GenBank genome assembly
GUGUUUAUGAGGGUGCGGUUAGUGUACUGUGUGUGUGUGAGUGAGCUGUAUGUGUGUAGGUGCUGUAUGUGUGUGUGCUGUAUGUUUGGAGGGAUUUGGCAGAUAAGUAAAUCCUUGCUGCCAUGUGCCAUCCCUGGUGGUCCAGUGGAGAGUGAACUCUAGCCUGCGGGGCUAGAGUUAACUCUCGCGAGAUCUGAGCAUUGCCGCAGCAACACUCAGAUAUUGCGAGAGGAACCUGGCGGAGCUUCUGUCUAGAGCUCCCUGGGUCCUCUCCUGCCUCC